CGACUAAGCGUACACGGUGGAUGCCCUGGCAGUCAGAGGCGAUGAAGGGCGUGCUAAUCUGCGAUAAGCGCCGGUAAGGUGAUAUGAACCGUUAUAACCGGCGAUACCCGAAUGGGGAAACCCAGUGUGAUUCGUCACACUAUCAUUAACUGAAUCCAUAGGUUAAUGAGGCGAACCGGGGGAACUGAAACAUCUAAGUACCCCGAGGAAAAGAAAUCAACCGAGAUUCCCCCAGUAGCGGCGAGCGAACGGGGAGGAGCCCAGAGCCUGAAUCAGCAUGUGUGUUAGUGGAAGCGUCUGGAAAGGCGCGCGAUACAGGGUGACAGCCCCGUACACAAAAGCGCAUGUGCUGUGAGCUCGAUGAGUAGGGCGGGACACGUGGUAUCCUGUCUGAAUAUGGGGGGACCAUCCUCCAAGGCUAAAUACUCCUGACUGACCGAUAGUGAACCAGUACCGUGAGGGAAAGGCGAAAAGAACCCCGGCGAGGGGAGUGAAAAAGAACCUGAAACCGUGUACGUACAAGCAGUGGGAGCACCCUUUGGGGUGUGACUGCGUACCUUUUGUAUAAUGGGUCAGCGACUUAUAUUCUGUAGCAAGGUUAACCGUAUAGGGGAGCCGGAGGGAAACCGAGUCUUAACCGGGCGUUAAGUUGCAGGGUAUAGACCCGAAACCCGGUGAUCUAGCCAUGGGCAGGUUGAAGGUUGGGUAACACUAACUGGAGGACCGAACCGACUAAUGUUGAAAAAUUAGCGGAUGACCUGUGGCUGGGGGUGAAAGGCCAAUCAAACCGGGAGAUAGCUGGUUCUCCCCGAAAGCUAUUUAGGUAGCGCCUCGUGAAUUCAUCUCCGGGGGUAGAGCACUGUUUCGGCUAGGGGGCCAUCCCGGCUUACCAACCCGAUGCAAACUGCGAAUACCGGAGAAUGUUAUCACGGGAGACACACGGCGGGUGCUAACGUCCGUCGUGAAGAGGGAAACAACCCAGACCGCCAGCUAAGGUCCCAAAGUCAUGGUUAAGUGGGAAACGAUGUGGGAAGGCCCAGACAGCCAGGAUGUUGGCUUAGAAGCAGCCAUCAUUUAAAGAAAGCGUAAUAGCUCACUGGUCGAGUCGGCCUGCGCGGAAGAUGUAACGGGGCUAAACCAU
RNAcentral lists this ribosomal RNA (1141 nucleotides) under Salmonella enterica subsp. enterica serovar Gatuni. RNAcentral describes it as "partial 23S ribosomal RNA". It matches the Rfam family "Bacterial large subunit ribosomal RNA", at positions 1 to 1190 of the family's 2925-position model. The record is from RNAcentral. Lineage: Bacteria; Pseudomonadati; Pseudomonadota; Gammaproteobacteria; Enterobacterales; Enterobacteriaceae.